RNAcentral lists this long non-coding RNA (762 nucleotides) under Coffea arabica (coffee). RNAcentral's name for it is "long non-coding RNA (CARA_LNC005116)". The record is from RNAcentral. Lineage: Eukaryota; Viridiplantae; Streptophyta; Magnoliopsida; Gentianales; Rubiaceae.
UUGAUUAGUAAUUGCUCUAUGAGAGUCAUAUAUGACGGUUGUAUGACUCACUUUUCCUUCAUUUUGACUUUUGAGCCAUGAAGACAAUGGUCAAUUGAGGAGUUUUCGUAGCUGUUGGUCAUCACUUUCAUGUUUUGGUUCAAAAAUUCUGGUAAUUUUCGAUAUGCUUCUCUUCUUUCACUACUCCAUUUUGACAUUUAACCACUUUAAUAUGUAAUAUAUCACAUAUAAAACAAAAGAAAUCUUGUCAUCACGAAGAUAUUUUUGAGGUAGCCAAGGAAGGUGUACUGUUCGAGCAAUGAAGUUGAACAAAACUAGGUGGAGUAUCUUCCAACAUUCUUGUCUAAGUGGAAUGUUUUGAAGCAUUCCGGUUGGUCAAGUCUGCUUGUUGCGAUUUUCAGCUCUUAAUGAAUCCACCUUGAUAAAGGCUCUUAAGCUCUCUCUGCUUUUAUGAUUGUUGGUUGCUUCUUUUUAUUAUGGUAAGUUUCUCCUUUUGGGCCUUCAGUUACAAUGACAGAAAACUUGCAAUUAUCUAAAAAUUUCCAUUAACUUUAUUCUAUACUGAACGUGGUCUUGAGUUUGAGUUUUUGUGCUUUGCAGUGAUUUUAGGCACAAAGCUUGACAGGGAACCUCAUCGAUGGCUCUUACUUCUUUACUUUUUGAAAGUCUUGCAAUUCCUUGCUGAACAAGAUCUUGCUUCAGUUGAAUAGUAACAUCUAGGAUGGCAUUCUCUUUCGCUCUGUGCCUCAGAUGGCCAAAGUC